UAAGACCCAUCACUAACUCGAACCUAAAUAAGGGCCCAUUAGCCAAAUUUGAACCAUUGGGUCCCCUUAUAGGCUGAGGCCAAAAUGAAAAACCCUUAUCUGUCUUCACCAACAGGGCAAGGCAGAGGCCCAUCCAAGUGGCUGGGCUUAGCAAGGCCACACAGAAUUGCAUGUCACAUGAGCAACGUGCCUGAGGCGAGUUGACUUGGCACUUAGGCUUGUUGGGAUAAGCCCUCUUUCGUGCAUGAGUGCACGUUCACUCGAGAAGGCAACACGACACAAGUGUGCUGAGCAAGCCCAUUCUGCAUGACAAUGUGCC
RNAcentral lists this long non-coding RNA (319 nucleotides) under Carica papaya (papaya). Its description in RNAcentral is "long non-coding RNA (CPAP_LNC008228)". Lineage: Eukaryota; Viridiplantae; Streptophyta; Magnoliopsida; Brassicales; Caricaceae. The record is from RNAcentral.